AUGGGGACUCCAUGCAUCUCCUACGCUCCGCAACCCUUUCCUUCCCGACACAGCAGAAACAAGGAUGCCGAGGCGGUUCAGAUCUUGAAUGCACGAUUGAUGAUUUUGUUUGACAGGAGGCUCACUGAUGGAGUAUGCCUAAUCUCAAUUUAUUGCAUGGUGUUGUCUGUGUGCUGCUGCCGGGGGACUUUGGAUGGUGGUCUUGAUAUUCCGCACAGUGACAAGAGAUUUGCUGGCUUCAAGAAGAAUGAGAAGUGGCUGGACACUGAGAUUCACCGCAACUACAUUUAUGAAGAUCAUGUUGCAGACUGCAUGAAGUCAAUAGCUGAUGAAGAACCUGAGGAGUACCAAUUUCACUUUAGUGAGUACAUCAAGAAGGGGAUUGCGGCUGAUGACAUGGAAGCACUGUACAAGAAGGUUCAUGCUACCAUUCGUGAUGAUCCUACCAUGGCAAAAUAA
Molecule: ribosomal RNA, 459 nt
Filed under: Triticum aestivum (bread wheat)
Lineage: Eukaryota; Viridiplantae; Streptophyta; Magnoliopsida; Poales; Poaceae
Description: partial small subunit ribosomal RNA
Source: RNAcentral